RNAcentral lists this transfer RNA (76 nucleotides) under Helicobacteraceae bacterium. RNAcentral describes it as "tRNA-Ala". It matches the Rfam family "tRNA". From Rfam's summary of the family: Transfer RNA (tRNA) molecules are approximately 80 nucleotides in length. Their secondary structure includes four short double-helical elements and three loops (D, anti-codon, and T loops). Lineage: Bacteria; Pseudomonadati; Campylobacterota; Epsilonproteobacteria; Campylobacterales; Helicobacteraceae. The record is from RNAcentral.
GGGGGUAUAGCUCAGAUGGGAGAGCGCUUGCGUGGCACGCAAGAGGUCGGCGGUUCGAUCCCGCCUAUCUCCACCA